CUCUAAUUGUAAGUCAUUUUCAUCACUCCUCAAUAAUCAUUGAUAGUAGUCAACCUAAUUUUUAUCUGCGUUCACUCCUCUAUUGAUCAUUCAAUUGUCGAUCCAUUCUGCAAGCCCCCAUCAUUCUUAGUGGUGCUACACUGCUACCCUUCAAACAAUAUGGUUUUGGGGGCCUUAUCCGAAAUCACGAAGGCAAAUGGAUGAUUGGAUAUAGCCGACAUAUUGACUUUGCUGACAGCCUAGAAGUCGAACUAUUGGCUAUAUUGCAUGGAUUGAGAGUAGCUUGGGAGAUUGGUGCUGAAGAUGUUAGUUGCAGAUCAGAUUGCACGGAAGCAUUAUCUAUAAUCCUGAGUCCAACAUAUCAAUCUCAUAAAUAUGCUCACAUUAUCUUUUGUAUCAAAGAAUUGAUCUCAAGGGCUUGGUCUACUUCAUUCUUCCACACUUGUCGAGAAAGCAACCAAUGUGCCGACUAUAUGGCAAAGUUAGGUGCAAAUACUACGGGAGAUUUGAUGAUUUUUAGCGAGCCUCUGGAUGCUCUUUCUUCACUCCUCUUAAGUGAUGCUAAAGGAACUCCAUAUGUAAGAAUGUACUAGUAUUUUACAAGUGUCACUUGCUAGAUAUUUGUAACAUGUAAACAAAAAUAGUUCCAUUUUGAUUAAUAUGUGGAGAAUUUUUUAUUAA
Molecule: long non-coding RNA, 681 nt
Organism: Lotus japonicus
Lineage: Eukaryota; Viridiplantae; Streptophyta; Magnoliopsida; Fabales; Fabaceae
Exons: 2
Source: RefSeq, a predicted model, not a curated record